AUAUGGGGCACUUCUAACAUGAGCUUCACUGAAAAAAGCUUAUGAAAAGCUUUUACCAAAAUAUCUAACGAUAUUGGUAAAUCCUUAGAAAUAUUGGUAAAGCCAAUAUUGGUAAAUCGUUAGAAAUAUUAGUAAAAGCUUUUUCUAAGCCAUUUUUAGUGGAGCUCAUGCUAGAAUUUCCCAUGA
Molecule: microRNA precursor, 186 nt
Filed under: Gossypium raimondii (Peruvian cotton)
Lineage: Eukaryota; Viridiplantae; Streptophyta; Magnoliopsida; Malvales; Malvaceae
Description: miR8765 stem-loop (gra-MIR8765)
Source: miRBase by way of RNAcentral